UGCGCCUUGCCAGCCCGCUCAGAAACUCAAAUGAAUUGACGGGGGCCCGCACAAGCGGUGGAGCAUGUGGUUUAAUUCGAUGAUACGCGAGGAACCUUACCUGGGCUCAAAUGUAUGUUUGACGUAUUCUGAAAGGGAUACUUCUUCGGACAAUAUACAAGGUGCUGCAUGGUUGUCGUCAGCUCGUGCCGUGAGGUGUCGGGUUAAGUCCCGCAACGAGCGCAACCCUUGCCUUUAGUUGCCAGCAGUUCGGCUGGGCACUCUAAAGGGACUGCCGGUGUUAAACCGGAGGAAGGUGGGGAUGACGUCAAGUCCUCAUGGCCUUUAUGACCAGGGCUACACACGUACUACAAUGGCCGAUACAAAGGGCAGCGACACUGCGAGGUGAAGCCAAUCCCGUAAAAUCGGUCUCAGUCCGGAUUGGAGUCUGCAACUCGACUCCAUGAAGUUGGAAUCGCUAGUAAUCGUGGAUCAGCAUGCCACGGUGAAUACGUUCCCGGGCCUU
RNAcentral lists this ribosomal RNA (505 nucleotides) under uncultured Desulfobulbus sp. Its description in RNAcentral is "bacterial SSU rRNA". It matches the Rfam family "Bacterial small subunit ribosomal RNA", at positions 903 to 1382 of the family's 1533-position model. The record is from RNAcentral. Lineage: Bacteria; Pseudomonadati; Thermodesulfobacteriota; Desulfobulbia; Desulfobulbales; Desulfobulbaceae.